RNAcentral lists this long non-coding RNA (2228 nucleotides) under Oryzias javanicus (javanese ricefish). Its description in RNAcentral is "lncRNA (ENSOJAG00000004488.1)". Lineage: Eukaryota; Metazoa; Chordata; Actinopteri; Beloniformes; Adrianichthyidae. The record is from RNAcentral.
GCUGCAUGACGCAAACACUCAACAACAUCUAAACAAGAUUUUUAGUGCUUUUUAGGUGGUGGGUGGGUGCAUUAGGACGUUAAAUGCCACAUCAGCAACAUUAGGAGGAUCAUGAAAAAAAGACAGACACAAGCAGCCAAUAAAAAAACAGUUAAUGUAAAAACUUUCUUUGUUUUUGCUGCUAAACUGGGUUCAAGCCCAGCUUGUUCAACCUGUUUGCUGCUUCAAACAUUUUUCUUGUUAUACAGGAAGAUUUUCUCAUUCUUCCAGACGGUUUUGAGUUUUUCAGCUGACUUCCCGCUCCAUCAGGGUGACAGACACAAACUAAGAGUUUAGAAGCACUUUUUUACUUCUUAAAGGAUAGAGGGAGCACAGAAAGACGAAGAAGCCAAUGUUUUAUCAACACAUUCUGUAAAGGAAAACAGUAAAGUUGGUCCAUCUUCAGAUCACACAAAAAAUCACCGAUCGUACAUUCAUCAAGAAAAGGAGGAAAGACGAAAAUGAGAGGAAGAAGAACAUCUUUGAUCAUGUUAUUUCUAUUUCGGAUGGUCCUUUACGAUGAUCCACUCGCCUCAGCACAAAACUUCACAACAGUUGUGUCGACUGUUGAUACCACAACAAAGACUCCUCCAGUUCCUGGUUACCAAACUAUUCCAGCUAAUGUGACAGUGGCUGCGGGAGAACCUGUGGAGUUUAGAUGCGGAGUUUCCAAGGCAGCUCCAAACCUUACAUUGACUCUUUAUGGGAGCCAUGGAAACUACAGCCUCAAAUGCCCAGAUGGGCACAUAGAAGAUAUUCCCCAGGCUCUCAGUGGAAACUGUUACAUAAAGGAUGGGGAGUCACUGGCUGUGUGGACUAUGAAGGGAACGGCCUUCCCUGACAACGGCACGAGAGUCGUUUGUCAGCAGGAAAACAAUCCCAAAACACCUUCUGCUGUCCUGCAUCUUUAUGAUAAUGGCUCCAUGUACGCUGCUCUUAUUGGAUGCUGCGUCGGGGGCUUCUUUGGAAUCCUAUUGGUGUUCGGGCUGAUGUUCCUCAUUCUAAGAAAUUCUAACCUGCCUGUUCAGUGUCUCGGUAAGCAGCGCUUUACAAUAAUUGACUGUAAAAAAUAACCCAAAGGUAAACUCAUCAACAUGACUUGUUGCUUAAUUCUGUUUUCAGAGAGAAGCCCAGAAGACGACUUGGAAGAUAUAAUAAAAGAAUAACAGAAGGCUUUAAAAAAUAUUUUGGCUUGGAAAAACCCAAUUUAAGUUUGUCCCGUUCUAUUACAAGGAUAUGGUGUAAAUAAAUAUGCAAAACGUUAACUGUAAAGUGAAGUGAAGCUGCAUGACAACAGUAACAAAAUGAUGCUUUUUUAAGCAUUCUUGGUGUAGCGUUUCUUCUUUUUCCUCGGUCUGUUAACUGCAGUUACGUAGUGUGUCCACUUGAGGGAAGCACUGAAAUAAAGACAAGUUCAUCAAAUAUUGCAAAUGGAAAACCAUGAUUUCUUAAGUCAAUUUUUAAUUUGUUUUUGGUUUGUUUCUUAUUUAAAAAAUAAAACAAAAAUGAUUAAAAUAAAAUGAAAAUUAGUUGGAACUAUGAGAAAAUAUAAUAAUAAAGGAAUAGGAAUAAGCAGGAUUGAAGUGAAAUCUUUCCUUUCUCUAGAAUUUAUCUUUGCAUGUUUUUUUUUUUGUUGUUUGUUUUUUUUGUGGGAGUUUAUAACAAAUAAUACAGUUUUUUUCAAGCUUUACCAAACACCAAUGACCUCACCCGGAAAGCUAAACACAAGGCAUAUUAAAACUUUUGUCAUUUCACAAUUGAUACUUUUUUGUCAAAAUUUUUGAAAUUUCUAGGUGACAAACUCAGUUGUAAUCUAACCCACAACAGAAUGGUCCUUCAAAUGAAGCCUGCCUGUUCAGCAGCGUGUGAAGGACACAAAGGAGAAAACAGCCUGUAAAUAAGCAUGCGCGUAGAGUUGCUCAUGUGACCUCACGUCUCAGCUUCCCCUUGGCGAUGACCGCAAAUCUCAGCUAGUGUCAAGAGCAGUGCAUGUUAUUUACUGUUAUCUGCUGUCACACAAAACAUAACAGGAACUCCAGGAUGAAACUACAGCUGGGUGGGACGUGUUUUGUUUGGAGCAUCUUGCAAUAAAGUAUUUGAAAUUUGAAGUGAUGUUUGCGUUCGCUUGGUUGAUUAUGACAUAUUGUAACGUAGACAAAUAAAACACAGAAGUGUCACAUGUUAACACA